Molecule: long non-coding RNA, 1141 nt
Filed under: Rattus norvegicus (Norway rat)
Lineage: Eukaryota; Metazoa; Chordata; Mammalia; Rodentia; Muridae
Description: long non-coding RNA NONRATT010227
Source: RNAcentral
ACGAGGAAGAGCCCGAGGAGGCGAGGAGGAAGAAGCGAGCAGAGGCCGAGGAGGCUCGGGGUCGCGAAGACCCGGUCCGAAGGGGUCCGGCAGGGCAUCCGCUAGCUGGCCGCGGAGGCAGGGCAGACAGCCGCAGCCAAUUUACCGCGGCCCCGCGAGCUCAGGAGGCGGCGAUCCAGGAGCGGAGCGCAGUCUGGGGGAGGAAGGGUGGCGCGGGCACGCCCGGGCGGGAGGGCGCGGAUUCUCCGAUCUUAACGAGCUGUCUUCUCAUCACCCGAGAGAGCUGCGCGGGGACGGGCGGGGGACCCCGGGCCGGGGCGCAGCGCACACGCGGGCGCACGCCAAGUGGACCGGGCGGCGCCGAAGGCACUCGGGAUCGCGCUUUCGGAGCUUCGGGCCGCCCAGACCCCGGGCGCGGACGGCCCGCGGCGCCCCCUGGGCUCUCGGUGCCCCGCGCAGCCCCGGGGGCGAUCGGAGCCCGGGUCGGGGAGUGGGAGCCACCCGCGCUCAUCCCCUUCCCCCCCCGGGCGGGCGGGCAGCCCGGGGGAGGGCGGGCGGCGGCGCUUGGCUGUAUAUAUCUCCGCACACCCCGCCAGGUCGCGCACAGCGCCCCGAGCCCAGGCGCCUCCCCGCCCCCCUCCCGGCGCUCCGCGGCGGCGGCGGCAGCAGUAGCAGCAACAUGGCUGUUGAUGGGUGUUCGGGGUGGCGCUGGCGGCGGGAGGAGCUCCCUCGAGCCCCUGCGCCGGCCGUCCGUUGCUAGCUAUGGCAAACGGUGGCGGCGGCGGCGGCGGCGGCAGCAGCGGCAGCAGCGGCGGCGGCGGCGGCGGCGGCGGAGGCAGCGGUCUUAGAAUGAGCAGCAAUAUCCACGCGAACCAUCUCAGCCUAGACGCGUCCUCUUCUUCCUCCUCCUCUUCUUCCUCCUCCUCUUCCUCCUCGUCCUCGGUCCACGAGCCCAAGAUGGAUGCGCUCAUCAUCCCGGUGACCAUGGAGGUGCCGUGCGACAGCCGGGGCCAACGCAUGUGGUGGGCUUUCUUGGCCUCCUCCAUGGUGACUUUCUUCGGGGGCCUCUUCAUCAUCUUGCUCUGGCGGACUCUCAAGUACCUGUGGACCGUUUGCUGCCACUGCGGGGGCAAGACGAAGG